AUAAAUAAAUUAAAUGACUGAAUACAAUUAUGUUUAUUAUUUUAUUUAUUUUUAGACCUUGCUGUAUUAUGUGGUUGCUUCUAUUAUUUUAUUAAAUUUUAACAUUGCUUAUACUCUAUUCCAAAAGAGAAUAUCUAGUACACCGAUCAUUUUUAGUAUAGUAACCUAACCUACCUUAAUCGGGUUAAUUCUAAUAGGAUUGUUGGCUUUGGCUAUGCUGUAAGUGGGUAAGGCAGAGUUUAGCACAGCUGUAGUCAUCAGUCAACAUGCCAAAAACAGGGUGUGCUCUUAUGAAAUGCUUUAAAAAAUAUAUAUCUGUGUAUAUCGACAUCCACAACAAUACUGUGAGUAACUCAAUUUUUACAAAUUUUCUGUAGUGUAGAAGCGUACUAAAGUUUGAAUAACUAUUUUUAUUCUAAUAUUUUUUUUUGAUUUUACUGGAACUUGGACAACUUAAUAUUUGUAUAAAACUAAAAUAUAGAUUUACAUAAAUUUUACUAUACUUGGCUAUCUGUGGUUUUUCCUAUGUUCUUAAUGGCUUAAUCUUUCUUGUAUGUAAGACGAAGACAACACAUAUGGAUGAUAUUCCCUUAAUUUAUAUUUAAAUGAUUUAUAGAAAAUAAAUAAUGAAAUACUAAACUUGGUGUAUUGUGUUUGAUAAUGAAAUUUAAUUUUAAUUGUUAAGAAUUCUAUUAUAUUGUAUUCUGAUGUUAUUUUAUGUUUUUUCUCUACAGAGUAUAAUUGUGAAAGAUGCCAAAGAAAAUACAGAAAUGUUGGUAGUUUGAAAAAACAUAUUUUAUACUACUGUGGUCAACAAUUUCCUUGUGAUAUAUGUACUGGUAUUUUCACUCGUAAAGCAACUCUACAACUUCAUAAAGCAGUAAAACAUGGAGUUUUAAUGGAAUAAAUUCUUUAUACUAAAAUACAGUGGUUAUCGUUUUAGUAAUCAUUGGUUUUGGACAAAAUGGAUAGCAUAAAGUAACUGAUAAUACAAUACAAAAAUUAAAUUAUGUGCAUAACCAGAGUAAUACAGCAUGUACUACGAUAACAAUAUACAAUUGUUAACUCUAACCGUGUUUAUAAUAAGCAGCGCCUACUGUAUUUAAUAUUCAUGUGUUGAAUUCAAAUAUUAUAUUUAGACAAAUUUUAAUCAAACUUAUUAGAAAAUAUAUAAAAUGUUGUUAGUUAUAUUUUUAUAGUUGGUAAAUUAAACAGGCACUUUAUAACUUUUAGUUAUAUUUAAUUGUUCCUAAGUUAAUAGUUGUAUUUAAAUUAUUCCUUAAGUAAAGAUUUUGUAGUGUUAAAACUGUUUUAAAAUAUGAGUGUCAAAUCCAUUGGUUUAUAUAGUACUUAAUACUUUUCUUAUUACUUUGUCUCUAUGGAUUUAUUAAAUGAAAAAUAUAUAAUAUUGUGAACUUUUUGUAUGACAUACUUUUUACAUGACUGUUAUUUUUAUGUCUAAAAAAUUGACAAAAUUUCAAUUUAUGGCUUUAUAUUUAUUUGAAUAAUUUUUUUAUAUAAAUGAAUGACACUUUGUUAAAAGGGACCUAAGUUACAUUUUUGAAAAAAAUAGUUUUGUUUUAUAUUAUUCAUCGUCUUAUGUAAACACAUAGUUUUGUGCUAAAAAGUACCUAUUUCAUAUCAUCUUGUCUGUGCAAAAUUAUUAUGAAAUAUUUCAUAGUUUGUUAAAAGGUACCCAUGUACUUAUUACGCAAAUAUAAAUAAAGGAAAACUGUUUUUUGUUACUCCUGAAAAGUAGUUGAAAAUGUACAUGGGUCCCUUUUAACAAAUUGCCAUUCAAAUAUUAAAUAAACAAAUGCUGUAAACUAAUUUUUUCUGUUUUUAUUAAUAGGUGAAAGUUUAAACCACAAGACAAGUCUCAAGUCUAAUUUUAAAAAUGGCCGUUACCAUUGUCCUAAUCAGUGUGGCAAGCAUUAUAAAGCAAUUAAUGGAUUGAGUCAACAUUUAAACAAUGAAUGCGGUGUGAUACCCAAAUUUGUGUGUUCUAUAUGUAUGAAAAGUUAUCAAUAUAAAAAUAGGCUUAAACUUCACAUGGCCAGUGUACAUACUAUAUUACUUGACAGUUGAUAUGAUGAAAGAACUUUAUGAUUACUCAGCUGGCUGAGUAUAGAUAUUAGUUCCCGCUUCCUAUGUCCAAAUUUAUGUGGUCGAAGUUACAAAUAUAAGCGUGGAGUAUACACUCAUGUGAAAUUUGAGUGUGGUGUGGAACCCAGUUUUUUAUGUUCAUUGUGUCCAAAGAAAUUUGCUAGGAAGUUCCAGCUAGAAAGUCAUUUGGUGUUGAAGCACAAAGUUGUUAAAA
RNAcentral lists this long non-coding RNA (2320 nucleotides) under Acyrthosiphon pisum (pea aphid). Its description in RNAcentral is "uncharacterized LOC103310247, transcript variant X1". The record is from RNAcentral. Lineage: Eukaryota; Metazoa; Arthropoda; Insecta; Hemiptera; Aphididae.